GAGGAAGUAAAAGUCGUAACAAGGUUUCCGUAGGUGAACCUGCGGAAGGAUCAUUAUCGUUUGCAACGGAGGUGCUCGAGCUGUCGCUGGCCUUUUCACAGGUCGUGCACGCCCGGGCACGCUCUUAUCCCACCCCCCUUAACCCCCCUUUGUGCAUCACCGCGUGGGUCCUCUCUCUCGAGGGGGCCUGCGUUUUUCACACAAACUUUGAAAUGGCUCAGAAUGUUCUUUGCGGUCACACGCAAUAAAAAUACAACUUUCAACAAUGGAUCUCUUGGCUCUCGCAUCGAUGAAGAACGCAGCGAAAUGCGAUACGUAAUGUGAAUUGCAGAAUUCAGUGAAUCAUCGAAUCUUUGAACGCACCUUGCGCCCCUUGGCAUUCCGAGGGGCACGCCCGUUUGAGUGUCGUGAAAAUCCUCAAAGCCCUUUUUCUUCGAUCGCCUUGGAUCGAGGGAGGAAGGCUUUGGACUUGGAGGUUCAAUGCUUGCCUUUGCCUUUUAAAAGCAAGCUCCUCUCAAAUGCAUCAGUGGGUGUUCCGCAUUUGUCGGUCCAGGACGUGAUAAGACUGCUUUACGUUUUGGACUCGAUGGCUGCUCUUUGGAUGCCUGCUUCCAACCGUCCCACGGACAAAAGAUGGAGUUUCCGGUCACCUGCCAUUUCGCUGGUUGGGGAGGCUGGACCCACGACACGCUCUUGACCUCAAAUCGGGCGGGACUACCCGCUGAACUUAAGCAUAUCAAUAAGCGGAGGAAAAGAAACUAACAAGGAUUCCCCUAGUAACUGCGAGUGAAGCGGGAAAAGCUCAAAUUUAAAAUCUGGUGGUCUCUUUGGCCAUCCGAGUUGUAAUUUAGAGAAGCGUCUUCCGCGCUGGACCGUGUA
This 879-nucleotide ribosomal RNA is filed under the name Russula gelatinivelata. Its description in RNAcentral is "eukaryotic LSU rRNA". The stretch from base 255 to 408 matches the Rfam family "5.8S ribosomal RNA". The record is from RNAcentral. Lineage: Eukaryota; Fungi; Basidiomycota; Agaricomycetes; Russulales; Russulaceae.